RNAcentral lists this long non-coding RNA (3312 nucleotides) under Gallus gallus (chicken). The record is from RNAcentral. Lineage: Eukaryota; Metazoa; Chordata; Aves; Galliformes; Phasianidae.
CCAAAGCCUGUUAGUAAUUCCUGCUGCUGGACUCGGUGGAUAUUUCUUAUGCCAUUUCUGUCCUUCUGGGUGUAUUCUAGCACUUUGCCUCCCAGUCCUGAUGAAAAAGGAAAGCAAAAAGGUGACUAAAAUAUGAAAUUUACUUCCAGAAUGUCCUGGUGGUUCGCAGAUGUCUCAGAAAUGCCUUUGGUGGCCGUUAGCAGGGUGUGCUCGUGCUGCCAGAGGGACCAAAGUGUGGCCCGGUCACUCGCUCACCAUUCAGCCUGUGCUUUGGUGGUGUUCUGGCUUGGAUAGCUGUUGGCCUGAAAAUACACUGACAAGGACUUUAUCUAAUAGAUGCUUGUGUGGCUGGUUGCUGGCUUGAUACGAGAUGCCAAACAAAGCGACUUAAUAUGAACAGAGAAAGAAAUGACAGCAGGAAUAAACCAAAAGACAGUUUAAGGACACAUUCACCAUCAACCUUGCCCAUGUGAGGUGCAGUCUUGCUUGGCUCCUGUUGCUGCGCAUGCUGUUGGCAGGGAUGAUCGAAGCCUCUGCUGCUUCUCCUGCAGUGGGGAUGCAGCCCUUCAGAGCCCGACUUCAGUUUCCUCUUACAAUCAUGGUUGGCUUCCUCUGGGAGCAGCCUCUGCCUGCCCACAGCCCGCCUUCAUCCUGUUAGGGCCUGCGGAGAGUUACUCAGUUAAACAUCAUAAAUCCCACUAUAAAUGAUUACACAGGGCUUUUCACUAACAAUCUUCUGUGGGGAUAUCAAGCUUGAUGGAAGCAUAAAUCAUUUAAAGAACAUCUGCUUAAUGAGGGGUAACCUGGAACUGCUUCCCUGAGCCUGGGUGUACCAAGGGGGAAAAAGCUCAGGCAGCUGAACGACCUCAGCCGGCGCCUGCUGGGUGUGAGCAGAUGCCUUCUGUUGCCACAUCCAAGCCUUGCCACAGCCUGGAGCGAUCCUGAGCCCACGCUCAGAGUUAGGGCUGGAGGAAAGGUGCAUGAAUUGCCUGACUUGCACGGUGCUCUCGGCUGGCUCAGUGGAAGUGAUUCACUUGCUCGUGAGUGCGAAGUGUUCGUCGUCCCUCCUACCCACAGCAUGAUGUGGCUUCUACCCUUCCCCCUCUGUGCUCUUAUCUUCCGCUGCUUGGAGAGGCGGAGUGCUCAGCGGCUGUGAGGUUUGUGUGUCUGGAGGGGGUGGCAACUCGCCAGCCCACGGCAUGCUUCUUGUGCUGUGAAAUUGGAGCGGGUGAAUGCCAGCUACUUCAGUGGAAAAUGGGAGCAGUUCCUCUGCUGCCAAUGAGGGCUGCUGCCUGAAGGUACCACCGGGCUCCAAAGAGUGGAAGACUUUGCUUCUGGCUAUGUAUAACACACCUAUUCCUUUGACACACGUGAAUUGGUGUAUAUUACUGGGAAUUCCAGGAUGCUUAGCUGGGAAUGAACUCCUCUCUGUUUCACAACGUGACUCUGUGGUGUUUGUACUAGUUUAGAUUUGUUAAUUUUGUUUUGUCUGUUUGUUAUUUUCCACUGCUUCAGGCUGGGGAAUAGCAGCUGGCCGAGGCUUUGUACUGUCCAUGCCUUACCCUGGUUUUUAAGUUGUCUAAGUCUGAAUGAGCUGGGACUUAAGGGGCCUCAUAUGAAACCUCCAGGUGGCAGAUCUGAACCUAAGCAGGCCUCCUUCCACGUGCACUGCAGAGCAGUCGGAUGAAUCCGAGGAAGAAAUGUCCAUUGAGGACUAUUAAACACAAAAGCUUUCAUUACCGGGCCGCAGCCUGGGCACACGGCUAACGUGUUCCAUCCAGCAGGGCUUUGGGGACUGCUCCGAUCAGCUCAUCUGACUCCAUCAGCUGUCCAUCAGACGGCUGGGAAGUGCUCCCAGGGCUAACCUACACACGGUGUCAGCAACCCACCGCCUCUGCUCCCGUUGCUGCCUGCAUAAAGGUCACAGAUAACGAUUAAAAAUAAAUAAAUAAGCCAGGAGAACCCCCCAGCCUACCUCUGGGGUCACUCAGGUUUGAAAUAAAUCUCUCAUCUUUCUAUUUCUGAAGCCACAGAUGACUUAAGCCAAAUUGCAUUUGGAGCCGUUAUCCUCACACUCCUGUUUUAUUUAUGCUGCCGUGUCCUGUGCUAACGCUUUGUGAAAUAUUUAUUUGCUUCUGCUCUCCCACAGCUCAGCUGUGGAUUCAUGAGGCUCCUGUGCUAUGUCUCAAUUCUACGCAGCUGCGUUCUGUCAAGAAAGGAGAAAAUGAAGACUCCAAUCUGUGUUUUACAUUGUAGCAAUGCACCGUGUAUGACUGUAGCUGAUGUCUUUCAACAGGUGGAUGUUUUUCAGGUGCCUGGCUUGCGUAAGAGCUGUGGAAUGCACGUAUGGUGGCAGAACCUUAAUGUGUGAUGAGCAGCUCUUCUGUAUGUGCUUCCCCAAGCUGCCCUUGUGCUUGCUGGCCCUACUGGUUCCAGGUAACUCGCACAAAAGAGUUUGGGAGGAGACAGACGUGUCCUAAAGGACACCAGCGUGUGGCUUAUUGGUUCAGGGGGUGAGCUGAUUACAAAUUUCAGAUUCUGUCCGUAAGAUAAAUAAAUGAAGUGUCGUAAACACCUUUAUCUUCUGCUCGGGGCUGAAGCGAGCAGCCAAGUCAAACCGGUGUGCAUCCGAAAUGGCUUCUCCAGGCACUGUGCCAGCUUCCUGUCCCUCAGUCCAGGGAGGAAAUGAGCAGCAGCUGUCCUCCCUGCUGCAGCUUUGCUGCUUGCAAGCCAGGGAGGAGGAAAUCUGUGUACUGGGCUCCCCUUCCCUCCCUUUAUCACAAACACCAGAGUCUUGGUUUGAGUUCCUGCAGGAGCAAGGAUAUGGGCUGGCUGAAGAUACUUUGGUGCAGCUCUGACAUUUGGGCAAGCCAGCAGGAUUCUGCUAGAGAGGAUUUGUUCUCUUGCUUCCAGCUGAAAGCCGGACUAGAAGUGUCUGGUUGCCAUCUGAGUUAACUGUUGUUUAGUGUGUAAUGAGUGGAUGGUUCUCGGUCCAGUGGUGGAUAGACAAGUUUAGUCUGAGAGCUGCAGGCAGGGCUGGUCCCCAAGGAGUUGGCUGACACUGACUGUAAGCUGCCUGCGUCUUUAGAGGCAGUGUGUAAAUUGGAGGAAUAAUAAACGUGAGUGCCUGGAGGUGGCACAUGAGUGUACGAUGGAGGAGAUUUUACUUUUACACACUUAAGCUUGGUGAUCUGAUGCCAUCUCUAAAAAACCUUUCCGAGUCUAAAUUCAGUUUUAGGUCAGUAUAUUUAUAUAUAUACACACGUAUUUGGGAAAGGAGCUGCUAAGCUGCUGUUGCCACUUCUUGCUGAA